RNAcentral lists this ribosomal RNA (202 nucleotides) under uncultured cyanobacterium. RNAcentral describes it as "partial 16S ribosomal RNA". It matches the Rfam family "Bacterial small subunit ribosomal RNA", at positions 1333 to 1533 of the family's 1533-position model. Lineage: Bacteria; Bacillati; Cyanobacteriota. The record is from RNAcentral.
CGCUAGUAAUCGCAGGUCACCAUACUGCGGUGAAUACGUUCCCGGGCCUUGUACACACCGCCCGUCACACCACGGAAGUUGGCCACGCCCGAAGCCGUUACUCCAACCCUUGUGGAGGAGGACGUCGAAGGUGGGGCUGAUGACUGGGGUGAAGUCGUAACAAGGUAGCCGUACCGGAAGGUGCGGCUGGAUCACCUCCUAA